RNAcentral lists this ribosomal RNA (512 nucleotides) under uncultured bacterium. RNAcentral describes it as "bacterial SSU rRNA". It matches the Rfam family "Bacterial small subunit ribosomal RNA", at positions 28 to 526 of the family's 1533-position model. The record is from RNAcentral.
GACGAACGCUGGCGGCGUGCUUAACACAUGCAAGUGGAGCGACGAAACUGACUUCGGUCAGUGGCAAAGCCGCGAACGGGUGAGUAACACGUGGGUAACGUGCCCCAAUGACUGGGACAACCCGGGGAAACCCGGGCUAAUACCGGAUGUGGUCCUCUCACAUCAGUGAGUUGACUAAAGGUAGCUUCGGCUUCCGCAUUGGGAUCGGCCCGCGGCGCAUUAGCUUGUUGGUGGGGUAAAGGCCUACCAAGGCGACGAUGCGUAGCUGGUCUGAGAGGACGAUCAGCCACACUGGGACUGAGACACGGCCCAGACUCCUACGGGAGGCAGCAGUGGGGAAUCUUGCGCAAUGCGCGAAAGCGUGACGCAGCAACGCCGCGUGGGGGAAGAAGGCCUUCGGGUUGUAAACCCCUUUCAGGAGGGACGAAGGGCAGGCGGUGAAUAGCCGUUCUGCUUGACGGUACCUCCACAAGAAGCCCCGGCUAACUACGUGCCAGCCGCCGCAGUAACAC